UACGUAGGUGGCAAGCGUUGUCCGGAUUUACUGGGCGUAAAGAGCGCGCAGGCGGUCGUUCAAGUCGCGUGUGAAAGCCCCCGGCUCAACUGGGGAGGGUCACGCGAUACUGAUCGACUCGAAGGCAGGAGAGGGAAGUGGAAUUCCCGGUGUAGUGGUGAAAUGCGUAGAUAUCGGGAGGAACACCUGUGGCGAAGGCGACUUCCUGGCCUGUUCUUGACGCUGAGGCGCGAAAGCUAGGGGAGCAAACGGG
RNAcentral lists this ribosomal RNA (253 nucleotides) under uncultured bacterium. RNAcentral describes it as "partial 16S ribosomal RNA". It matches the Rfam family "Bacterial small subunit ribosomal RNA", at positions 524 to 776 of the family's 1533-position model. The record is from RNAcentral.